UACGUAGGGGGCGAGCGUUGUCCGGAUUUAUUGGGCGUAAAGCGCAUGCAGGCGGUCCUGUAAGUUUGAAGUGACAGUUUCCGGCUCAACCGGGAAAGUGCUUUGAAAACUGCGGGACUUGAGGGCUUCAGAGGGACACGGAAUUCCGGGUGGAGUGGUGAAAUGCGUAGAUAUCCGGAGGAACACCGAAGGCGAAGGCAGUGUCCUGGGGAGCACCUGACGCUCAGAUGCGAAAGCCAGGGGAGCGAACGGG
This 253-nucleotide ribosomal RNA is filed under the name uncultured bacterium. RNAcentral describes it as "partial 16S ribosomal RNA". It matches the Rfam family "Bacterial small subunit ribosomal RNA", at positions 524 to 776 of the family's 1533-position model. The record is from RNAcentral.